This 497-nucleotide ribosomal RNA is filed under the name uncultured bacterium. Its description in RNAcentral is "partial 16S ribosomal RNA". It matches the Rfam family "Bacterial small subunit ribosomal RNA", at positions 28 to 507 of the family's 1533-position model. The record is from RNAcentral.
GAUGAACGCUGGCGGCGUGCCUAAUACAUGCAAGUCGAGCGAACAGACGAGGAGCUUGCUCCUCUGACGUUAGCGGCACACGUGUGAGUAACACGUGGAUAACCCACCUAUAAGACUGGUAUAACUUCGGGAAACCGGAUCUAACACCGUACAAUAUAGUUAACCGUAUGGUUCAUUAGUAAAGUACUUCUUUUGUGUCUCUUAUAGAUGGAUCCGCGCCUCUUUAGCUAGUUGUUAAGGUAACGGGUUACCACGGCAACGAUGCGUAGCCGACCGGAGAGGGUGAUCGGCCACACUGGAACUGAGACACGGUCCAGAGUCCUAAGAGAGGGAGCAGAAGGGAAUGUGCGGCAAUGGGCGAGAGCAUGACGGAGCAACGCAGAGUGAGUGAUGAAGAUGUUCGGAUCGUAAAACUCUGUUAUGAGGGAAGAACAAAUGUGAAAGUAGCAAUGCACGAAUUGACGGUACCUGCUGAGAAAGCAACGGCUAACUACGUG